This 243-nucleotide unclassified non-coding RNA is filed under the name Hevea brasiliensis (rubber tree). The record is from RNAcentral. Lineage: Eukaryota; Viridiplantae; Streptophyta; Magnoliopsida; Malpighiales; Euphorbiaceae.
GCCUCCAAACCUUCCUCUAACGGACGCUUAAAAAUCAACCCAUGAAUUCCCCUCCCCAUACUCAGAUUUCUGUUUUUCCCACACGCAACUAACACACUAACAAAUGUUGCGAUAUUGGGCUCCACGUCCAUCCUCAAAAACAUAGUUACAGCCUCAUCAAACAACCCUGCCCUUACAUACCCAGAAAUGAUACUGGUCCAAGAGACCACAUCUCUCACGAGCAUCUCAUCAAACACUCUGCCA